UACGUAGGGGGCGAGCGUUACCCGGAUUCACUGGGCGUAAAGGGCGCGUAGGCGGUCUGUCGCGUCUGCUGUGAAAACUCGGGGCUUAACCCCGGGCCUGCAGUGGGUACGGGCAGACUAGAGUGCGGUAGGGGAGACUGGAAUUCCUGGUGUAGCGGUGAAAUGCGCAGAUAUCAGGAGGAACACCGGUGGCGAAGGCGGGUCUCUGGGCCGUAACUGACGCUGAGGAGCGAAAGCGUGGGGAGCGAACAGG
This 253-nucleotide ribosomal RNA is filed under the name uncultured bacterium. RNAcentral's name for it is "partial 16S ribosomal RNA". It matches the Rfam family "Bacterial small subunit ribosomal RNA", at positions 524 to 776 of the family's 1533-position model. The record is from RNAcentral.